AGUGAACGCUGGCGGUAGGCCUAACACAUGCAAGUCGAACGGCAGCACAGUCAUUGCUUGCUCUUACGGGUGGCGAGUGGCGGACGGGUGAGGAAUACCUCGGAAUCUACUUUUUCGUGGGUUAUAACGUAGGCAAACUUACGCUAAUACCUCAUCCGUCCUACUGGUGAGAGCAGGGGAUCUUCGGACCUUGCUCGAUUGAAUGAGCCGAUGUCGGAUUAGCUAGUUGGCGGGGUAAAGGCCAACCAAGGCGACGAUCCGUAGCUGGACUGAGAGGAUGAGCAGCCACACUGGAACUGGGACACGGUCCAGACUCCGACGGGAGGGAGCAGUGGGGAAUAUUGGACAAUGGGCGCAAGCCUGAUCCAGACAUACCGCGUGGGUGAAGAAGGUCUUCGGGUUGUAAAGCCCUUUUGUUGGGAAAGAAAAGCAGGAGGUUAAGACCCCGCUGUUCUGACGGUACCCAAAGAAUAAGCACCGGCUAACUUCGUG
This 492-nucleotide ribosomal RNA is filed under the name uncultured bacterium. RNAcentral's name for it is "partial 16S ribosomal RNA". It matches the Rfam family "Bacterial small subunit ribosomal RNA", at positions 29 to 507 of the family's 1533-position model. The record is from RNAcentral.